AGCGAACGCUGGCGGUAGGCCUAACACGUGCAAGUCGAACGGCAGCACAGUAAGAGCUUGCUCUUACGGGUGGCGAGUGGCGGACGGGUGAGGAAUACAUCGGAAUCUACUUUUUCGUGGGGGAUAACGUAGGGAAACUUACGCUAAUACCGCAUACGACCUACGGGUGAAAGCAGGGGAUCUUCGGACCUUGCGCGAUUGAAUGAGCCGAUGUCGGAUUAGCUAGUUGGCGGGGUAAAGGCCCACCAAGGCGACGAUCCGUAGCUGGUCUGAGAGGAUGAUCAGCCACACUGGAACUGAGACACGGUCCAGACUCCUACGGGAGGCAGCAGUGGGGAAUAUUGGACAAUGGGCGAAAGCCUGAUCCAGCCAUACCGCGUGGGUGAAGAAGGCCUUCGGGUUGUAAAGCCCUUUUGUUGGGAAAGAAAAGCAGCAGGUUAAUACCCCGCUGUUCUGACGGUACCCAAAGAAUAAGCACCGGCUAACUUCGUG
Molecule: ribosomal RNA, 492 nt
Filed under: uncultured bacterium
Lineage: Bacteria
Description: partial 16S ribosomal RNA
Rfam family: Bacterial small subunit ribosomal RNA
Source: RNAcentral